Molecule: ribosomal RNA, 1006 nt
Filed under: Salinivibrio sharmensis
Lineage: Bacteria; Pseudomonadati; Pseudomonadota; Gammaproteobacteria; Vibrionales; Vibrionaceae
Also listed under: 1 other name
Description: bacterial SSU rRNA
Source: RNAcentral
AGAGUUUGAUCAUGGCUCAGAUUGAACGCUGGCGGCAGGCCUAACACAUGCAAGUCGAGCGGAAACGGCAGCAUUGAAGCUUCGGUGGAUUUGCUGGACGUCGAGCGGCGGACGGGUGAGUAACGGCUGGGAACCUGCCCUGACGAGGGGGAUAACCGUUGGAAACGACGGCUAAUACCGCAUAAUGUCUWCGGACCAAAGGUGGCCUCUACAUGUAAGCUAUCGCGUUGGGAUGGGCCCAGUUAGGAUUAGCUAGUUGGUAAGGUAAUGGCUUACCAAGGCGACGAUCCUUAGCUGGUUUGAGAGGAUGAUCAGCCACACUGGGACUGAGACACGGCCCAGACUCCUACGGGAGGCAGCAGUGGGGAAUAUUGCACAAUGGGGGAGACCCUGAUGCAGCCAUGCCGCGUGUGUGAAGAAGGCCUUCGGGUUGUAAAGCACUUUCAGCAGUGAGGAAGGUGGUGUACUUAAUACGUGCAUUGCUUGACGUUAGCUGCAGAAGAAGCACCGGCUAACUCCGUGCCAGCAGCCGCGGUAAUACGGAGGGUGCGAGCGUUAAUCGGAAUUACUGGGCGUAAAGCGCAUGCAGGCGGUUUGUUAAGUCAGAUGUGAAAGCCCGGGGCUCAACCUCGGAACCGCAUUUGAAACUGGCAGGCUAGAGUCUUGUAGAGGGGGGUAGAAUUUCAGGUGUAGCGGUGAAAUGCGUAGAGAUCUGAAGGAAUACCAGUGGCGAAGGCGGCCCCCUGGACAAAGACUGACGCUCAGAUGCGAAAGCGUGGGUAGCAAACAGGAUUAGAUACCCUGGUAGUCCACGCCGUAAACGCUGUCUACUUGGAGGUUGAGGUUUAAGACUUUGGCUUUCGGCGCUAACGCAUUAAGUAGACCGCCUGGGGAGUACGGCCGCAAGGUUAAAACUCAAAUGAAUUGACGGGGGCCCGCACAAGCGGUGGAGCAUGUGGUUUAAUUCGAUGCAACGCGAAGAACCUUACCUACUCUUGACAUCCAG